This 497-nucleotide ribosomal RNA is filed under the name uncultured bacterium. RNAcentral's name for it is "partial 16S ribosomal RNA". It matches the Rfam family "Bacterial small subunit ribosomal RNA", at positions 28 to 507 of the family's 1533-position model. The record is from RNAcentral.
GAUGAACGCUGGCGGCGUGCCUAAUACAUGCAAGUCGAGCGAACAGACGAGGAGCUUGCUCCUCUGAUGUUAGCGGCGGACGGGUGAGUAACACGUGGAUAACCUACCUAUAAGACUGGGAUAACUUCGGGAAACCGGAGCUAAUACCGGAUAACAUGUUGAACCGCAUGGUUCAACAGUGAAAGACGGUUUUGCUGUCACUUAUAGAUGGAUCCUCGCCGCAUUAGCUAGUUGGUAAGGUAACGGCUUACCAAGGCAACGAUGCGUAGCCGACCUGAGAGGGUGAUCGGCCACCCUGGAACUGAGACACGGUCCAGACUCCUACGGGAGGCAGCAGUAGGGAAUCUUCCGCAAUGGGCGAAAGCCUGACGGAGCAACGCCGCGUGAGUGAAGAAGGUCUUCGGAUCGUAAAACUCUGUUAUUAGGGAAGAACAAAUGUGUAAGUAACUAUGCACGUCUUGACGGUACCUAAUCAGAAGGCAACGGCUAACUACGUG